AUUCUUAGAGAAGUAUCAAUAUAGCAGAGAUAGAUGCGAAACCAAUCUCUCUAAUUGUUUAUUUCUACUUUUAGUUUUAUUAAUUAAUAAUUCAUUCUCUAUAAAUGUAUCGAUAUGUACUACACAUAAGCAAUCCAUCGUAACAAAAGUCUAUCUAAUUUUAUUAAGUUAAACCCAACCUUUUCAAUUUUAUUAGCCUAAUGGAUUACUAU
RNAcentral lists this long non-coding RNA (212 nucleotides) under Ricinus communis (castor bean). RNAcentral describes it as "long non-coding RNA (RCOM_LNC002699)". The record is from RNAcentral. Lineage: Eukaryota; Viridiplantae; Streptophyta; Magnoliopsida; Malpighiales; Euphorbiaceae.